AACAGGAUUAGAUACCCUGGUAGUCCACGCCGUAAACGAUGUCGACUUGGAGGUUGUUCCCUUGAGGAGUGGCUUCCGGAGCUAACGCGUUAAGUCGACCGCCUGGGGAGUACGGCCGCAAGGUUAAAACUCAAAUGAAUUGACGGGGGCCCGCACAAGCGGUGGAGCAUGUGGUUUAAUUCGAUGCAACGCGAAGAACCUUACCUACUCUUGACAUCCACGGAAUUUGGCAGAGAUGCCUUAGUGCCUUCGGGAACCGUGAGACAGGUGCUGCAUGGCUGUCGUCAGCUCGUGUUGUGAAAUGUUGGGUUAAGUCCCGCGACGAGCGCAACCCUUAUCCUUUGUUGCCAGCGAUUCGGUCGGGAACUCAAAGGAGACUGCCGGUGAUAAACCGGAGGAAGGUGGGGAUGACGUCAAGUCAUCAUGGCCCUUACGAGUAGGGCUACACACGUGCUACAAUGGCGCAUACAAAGAGAAGCGACCUCGCGAGAGCAAGCGGACCUCACAAAGUGCGUCGUAGUCCGGAUCGGAGUCUGCAACUCGACUCCGUGAAGUCGGAAUCGCUAGUAAUCGUGGAUCAGAAUGCCACGGUGAAUACGUUCCCGGGCCUUGUACACACCGCCCGUCACACCAUGGGAGUGGGUUGCAAAAGAAGUAGGUAGCUUAACCUUCGGGAGGGCGCUUACCACUUUGUGAUUCAUGACUGGGGUGAAGUCGUAACAAGGUAACC
This 730-nucleotide ribosomal RNA is filed under the name uncultured bacterium. RNAcentral describes it as "bacterial SSU rRNA". It matches the Rfam family "Bacterial small subunit ribosomal RNA", at positions 771 to 1501 of the family's 1533-position model. The record is from RNAcentral.